RNAcentral lists this long non-coding RNA (2223 nucleotides) under Sus scrofa (pig). RNAcentral describes it as "lncRNA (ENSSSCG00065021307.1)". The record is from RNAcentral. Lineage: Eukaryota; Metazoa; Chordata; Mammalia; Artiodactyla; Suidae.
AGUUUCCGGCUGCGCCAUUGCUCUGUGGGUCCCAAGAUCCGGACUUAGAGGACGCGGGGAGGGCGGGGCGGCGCCCGGCUUCCGGGUAGUGGCAGGUGAGGCCGCGUGGGGCCAGCGGCGGCUCCUUGCUGGUCUGUGGCUCUGGGCCCAAGACCCGAGCCUCCUACAGGGGCGGCCCCCUGCCUGAGGCGCGGGUGGGUUCCGACCUCCGAGAGCCGGUGUGGAAGCACUGAGGGGCCCCUACUUUUGCCCCCGAAGUCAGCGGGGCAACAGCCGCUCCCUUGCAGGAGCCGGGCCGUGGGCUGAGGGCCCCGGUGGGUGAGAUCGGUGACCCCCGAAAACUCCGACCAAAGAGCUGCAGCAAGAAAGGAGUUGGUUCCCACAAACCGCCCAGAGUCAAGUUCUGGAGGCUGAGAAGUUCAAGAUCAAGGUGCUGGCAGAUUUGACGUCUGGAAGAUAUGCUCCAUCGAAACAUGGAAAUGAAGUAAGAAAGAGCAAGACCUAGAUCCAAGAAACAUAGAGCCGACGAGUCUCCAGGAUGCAUUAAAUGGAGACUCAAGUUGUGAGCAGUACCUGAAAGGAAGCAACAUGUCCAGAAUGGAACAGAUCGCAAAGUUCCAGGAAGGAUUUCUUCAGGAAAAUUAAAUUGAUAGAAUACUUAAUUUGAAUCUCUUGAGGAAACUUGCACACAUUGGGAAGAAUUUGGAUUAAAUUAGCAACAAGUCCAUAAAAAUACUCCCAAGUAUCAGAAGAGUGAGAUGUUUCUAAGGCCCUCGUUUUCUCUGUGCAUGGGAACUAAAAUCAGUCUGAUGGCAGCUGCACAAGAUGGGAAGGAGUAAUCCUUGAAAUUAGACCAAGGAAGCACGUGAAGUGUGUUUGCUCUCAGCCACCAGCCUCAGAAGAGCUCAAGUCCAGGUAGGGUACAUUUUACCUGAGAUCUACUCUGGGGUGUCUUCCCUUGGUCACAGCCUGCUCCCAGGCACUCCUGGUGAGUUGGGUCUCUUUCCUACAUGUUGUGUAGCAUUAUUGUCCCAUAUUCACAGUGAGCUGUCCGAUUCCCAGGAGCAGAAGCCUGUUUCUGAAGCAUCCAAUCAGUCUAGAAAUAAUAGUCUAGUUAUCUGAUUUUUCACAGCUCUUUGCCUUUUCCUUGCACUGAGGAGUUAGGUAGCUAACUUUAUUCACAUCAAACAGCUAUGGAAGUUAAAGUUAUCUCAGAUUCGGAGCUAUAGACAUUACUUAAGAAGCGCUGUGGUUCUUUAAGUAUAUUCACGUCAUAAGCACUCAGCAAACCAGGUUAUUCAAGAAUCCUCUUAUCUCAGAAAGCUGAUUACAUUAUAUAAAUUAUCAAGGCAUUUAUUUCAAAGAUACUGAGAAAAAUCAGAGCAUUCUUGUCAGGUGUCUGUGGCACUUUGGCACUUGACCCCAACAUUCUUAAACAUCCUCUCAUCAAGAGCAAGAGUGCCCCACACGCUUCUCUGAACCAGGAUGAGCCAGUGACUGCUUUGACCAAUUAAGUAUGAUAGAAAGGUUGCUAUGUGACUUUUCAGGCUGGAUCUGAAAAAGCCAUGCCAGUUUUGCUUUCUUUUCUUUGGAUACUUGCUCUGAGAGAAGUCUGCUGCCACAUAGAGUGUAUCUCCCCUAAGAAAGUCAUGCUGGAAAGGCCUUCUGGUCACAGCCCUGCUCAGCUUCCAGCAACAGCCAGCAUCCACUGCCAGCCAUGUGGACAGGCCAUCUUGGGUGUCCCCAGAUGUGUUGACGACUCAGCUCAGUGGAGCCUUCAGAUUGUUGCAGUCUCCACCAACAUCUGACUGCAACCUCUUGAGAAAUGCCUUGUGACAGCAAAGCAGCCAAGCCCUUCCGUAACUCAUAACCCACAAAAUCAUUUAAAAAGAUCGUUUUUAACAAAUUGGUUUUCGGUUCAUACCACUAAAGUUUUAGGGCAAUUUGUUUUACAGUGCCAUUGGGAAAGAAGUUUCUCCCCUUUGACACACCUCCUCACCAUUCCAGCUGCUCACUUUCACUUCUGAGUGUUUGUGCUGUAGUUGCUUCAGUCCAUAUCUUCUUGGGUUUAUCUUUUCAUACUUUACACAUAUACACACACAGCCACAUAGGCACAGCCACCCACAUAGAAAAUUGAUCACUUGGCUCAGUUCUACUCCCCAGAUGACUUCAUUCAGACCUCAUUUUUCAGCUGGGAAAAAAAAAAAAAAAAAAAAAAAAAAA